Molecule: long non-coding RNA, 222 nt
Organism: Coregonus clupeaformis (lake whitefish)
Lineage: Eukaryota; Metazoa; Chordata; Actinopteri; Salmoniformes; Salmonidae
Exons: 3
Source: RefSeq, a predicted model, not a curated record
CUGAGGACGAACAUUGCCCACCCAUGUCCUCUUUGAAAACAUGUCCCACUGCAAAUCAAGAAGAAUUCCAAGAAUUCACACAUUCACUGUGCAGAUGUUGGGGUGUCCAAAAGAGGGAGACACAGGAGAAGGGCUUCAUCUAUCAAAAACUGAGAGUAUCGUUCCCAGUCAUGGUGUGUGUCUCUGGACAGAGGGCCUCCACCUCCCAGCUGUAGAGUAGAG